AUGUCUCAGCUUAAGCUUUCUUACAACAGUGCUGUGCAUGGCUCAUUAUAACAGCUACAAUUAAGUGGAUGGUUGCUAUACAUGGACAUCUGUGGCAAUUCUGUGGCUAAUACAUGCUCAUUGGCUCAGUCAACAUGGGUUGUGGUCAUUUUUCUCAGAAUCAAUGCAGGUGAUUCCUGCGUGCAACUCCAAGAAGAGUGACAGAAUGGAUUGCGAAGUUUUCACUGGUGCUGUGCCUUGAAAGUUUCUGACCUAUCAGCUGUCGACGGCAGGGUAGUGGCCUGCUGUGGCUGUGACAGGUGACGGAGGAUGAGGGUUUGACUCCGGAGAGGGAGCCUGAGAGAUGGCUACCACAUCUAAGGAAGGCAGCAGGCGCGCAAAUAGCCCAAUCCCAACAGAGGGAGGUAGUGACAAGAAAUAGCAAUGCAAGGCAUCCAUGUUUUGUACUUGGAAUGAAUGGCUGGCAAACUUUGUCUUUAGGAUCAAUUGGAGGGCAAGUCUGGUGCCAGCAGCCGCGGUAAUUCCAGCUCCAAUCGUAUAUAUUGGAGUUGUUGCGGUUAAAAGGCUCGUAGUUGGAUCUCUGCUGGGGAUGCCUGGUCCGCCCU
This 605-nucleotide ribosomal RNA is filed under the name Gambierdiscus pacificus. RNAcentral's name for it is "SSU rRNA". It matches the Rfam family "Eukaryotic small subunit ribosomal RNA", at positions 55 to 666 of the family's 1831-position model. The record is from RNAcentral. Lineage: Eukaryota; Dinophyceae; Gonyaulacales; Pyrocystaceae.